Molecule: long non-coding RNA, 212 nt
Filed under: Trifolium pratense (red clover)
Lineage: Eukaryota; Viridiplantae; Streptophyta; Magnoliopsida; Fabales; Fabaceae
Description: long non-coding RNA (TPRA_LNC012523)
Source: RNAcentral
AAACUAUUCAUAAGUUGGACUUGCUACUUAUACUCUUUCCCAUGGUCAUGAACCAAGCCCAUUUGGCUUAGGCCCAUGCCUCUCACGCCCUUCAAGCCCCAAAACCAAGGUUCUCGCAUCUAAAAACUUACGAUCGGCUAAAUAAUUAUUCGUCGCUCACUAAAAUAAUAAAAGCCAAUUAAUAAAUAAAAUAACAUUUAAUAAAAUAUACG